RNAcentral lists this ribosomal RNA (422 nucleotides) under Parargissa sp. BOLD:ADF5876. RNAcentral's name for it is "partial 16S ribosomal RNA". The stretch from base 290 to 422 matches the Rfam family "Bacterial large subunit ribosomal RNA", at positions 2473 to 2606 of the family's 2925-position model. Lineage: Eukaryota; Metazoa; Arthropoda; Malacostraca; Amphipoda; Parargissidae. The record is from RNAcentral.
UAGCAUAAUCAUUUGUUUCUUAAUUAGGGGCUGGAAUGAAUGGUUAAACAAAAAACAUUUUCUUAAAUUUAAAUUAGUAAUUUAAAUUUCAAAUAAGAAUAUUUGAGUAAAAUAAGGGGACGAUAAGACCCUAAAAGCUUAUUUUUAAUUAAAUUAAAUAUUUUAUUUUAAAUUAUUAAAUAUAGGAGAAAUUAACUGGGGUAGUUAGCUUAUGUAAACUAAGUUUAAUAUAACACACAAACUGGUAUUUGGUCUUUUAUAUAAGGAAAAUUGGACGAGUUACUUUAGGGAUAACAGCGUAAUAUUUUUGGAGAGAUCUUAUCUAUAAAAAUGAUUGCGACCUCGAUGUUGAAUUAAGAUAUCUUUAUGAUGAAGAAGGCAUAAAAGAAGGUUUGUUCAACCUUUAAAUUUUUACAUGAAUU